Molecule: unclassified non-coding RNA, 2089 nt
Filed under: Leishmania donovani
Lineage: Eukaryota; Euglenozoa; Kinetoplastea; Trypanosomatida; Trypanosomatidae
Description: gene:LdHU3.18.1140(CDS-product:rab7_GTP_binding_p rotein_putative)
Source: RNAcentral
AAGUUAUACGCAAACAUACAGCCGCUUAUUCUCUUGCUGCUUCGCGCCCUUGCUCUGCCUUUGAACGCCCCAGCUGUGAGCCUCAGUGCAAGAAUCCUCAACCACAAGCAAGCGCAUCCACCCCAACACACGCACAGAGAGAAGGAGAGCGCGCCACCAUGUCGAUGAAGCGGCAGUUGCUGAAGAUCAUCAUCCUGGGCGACAGCGGCGUCGGCAAGACGUCGCUCAUGCAUCAGUACGUGAACCACAUAUUUGACAACCGCUACAAGGCAACCAUCGGCGCUGACUUCCUUUCGAAGGACGUGGAGGUGAACGGGCGCGUGGUAACGCUGCAGAUCUGGGACACAGCCGGGCAGGAGCGGUUCCAGUCGCUCGGCUCCGCCUUCUACCGUGGUGCAGACGCUUGCAUCCUUGUCUUUGACGUGACGCAGCAGGAGUCUUUUGCGCAUGUUGGCUCGUGGCUGGAGGAGUUCAGCAUCCAGGCGGGCCGCCGUGACAGCGUGCUGGUGGGCAACAAGACGGACCUGGAGGAUCGGCGCCAGGUGGCCAGUAAGACAGUGCAAGCGUGGUGCGCGAAGCAGAACGCGGAGGCCGCUAAUGCGAACAACGGCGCAGGUGCCGGCGCGGGUGAUAGUGCGGCGCCAGAGAUGAAGUACUUCGAGACUUCCGCGAAGGAUAACGCCGGCGUCGAGGAAGCCUUCAUUGCUGUGGUACAGCUGGCGCUGGCCAGGAAGGCAACGGUUGAGGAGGCGACACCGAUGCCGCAGACGGUGAACCUGAGCCAAGCCCAGCAGGAGCAGGCACCCAGUUCCUCCGCCUGCAGCUGCUAAGACUCACGAGCAGACAAAGAGACGGAGAGGGGUCGUGGCGCACGGACACCCCUGCUGCACGUGUGGGGCAGCUGAGCGUGCGUGAAAGGCUGUCCCUUCCCCUCUCCUGCAGCCCCUUUACACGUUUCUGUCUGCCUGCGCGGCAGCUUUUCCGGUGGUCUCGGACGGCGUGGAUGCCGAACCUAUCCUUUCCAGCACCGCGUGGGUGUGGUCACUUUUUUUUGGUUGGGGGAGGGAAAGGGAGGAGAGGAGGCGCUGUUUUCGUCUCGCUCGCCGCCCUCACUCCCUCGGUAUCUCUCUCCUUGCUAUGUAUGCUUGUUGCCCCCCCCCCCCAGCCACGACCACCUUCCUUUACUUUCUCCUUCGAGCCGCCGUGCCCGUUUCCUUUCUGAGUUUGCCCCUCUCACCACUCCUCCUUCGCCCCUGCCCCCUCCUCUCCUGCACGGCUCUUUGCAUCGCCAGCACCACCAACAGCUCGAACUGUGCCGCUCCGCUCGUAAAAGGCGACGCGAGCGAAACGACGUUGCCCAAGCGGCAGAAGACGAGGCGGGGGUAGGAGGCGAGACACGAAUAAAAAGACGGAGCGAUGAGUGAGCGAGUGGCGCGAACGUGUUUUUGCUUUCUUCGUGGCUUAGCCUUGCGGAAGGGUCACUGCUAUUGUUGAUGCGUUUUCCUCGUGGUUGUCGAGUGUUGGGGGUGAGCCUGGUUGGCGAGGCUAGGUGCCGGUGCACCUCGGCGUCUGUGUUGCGUGCGUUUCUGUAUGGGUGGAGUGGGGGGCUACUGCUGGUGGUCUUUGUUGCGGCGAUGCCGAUGCGGAGGGUGCGCUAUCUGUAGUGGUCGUGGAUAGAUGCAACGAGGAAGAGGAGAGGGGUAGGGUGCAAAGACAUUCAUCGACAGGUGUGUGCGUACGGCCGUAACGAUUGCCUUGAUGCGUGCUCUCCCCCCCCCUAUCCCGUCCCCCUUUGCCGCGUCCUUCACUGCCACGGCCACCUCACAUGCUUCAACACGCACGGGCCCGCUGCGCUCGUUGUUCCACCUCCAGUGAAUUGCUUGCUUUGUGGUUCUUUAUGCUUGACGUGCUGCGACUUACGUGUAUUCCUCCCCUCUCCUUUCAUUCCUCCUUCCUUCCGAAUAUGCGUUGAUUGGCAUGGGUGUGCGUUUGCGUGUGUGUGUGUGUGCGCGGUGAACUGUGUCUCCUCGCGUCCUCGUUGAUCGCCGCCCCGCCCGCUCCUCCUCCUCCGCAUCCAUUUUUUUUCUUC